CCAAACCCAAAACACACAACAUCCUCAAACCACACCUCUCACUCUCUCACUCACUAUUUUCAUUACUAUCAAAACUAUUUGAAGCUGGAUGUACAUACACCCCCCAUCGAGUUCCACACCAUUCAUCGACGCCCAUCCAAAACUCCAAUCUCUUCCACAUUCAUCCCCCCGACGGAACCUCAAAGAGCCCCUAGAUAGUAAUUCGUUGGUUCGUGCGUGCGUUCGUUCGUCAGCUUCCGUCCAGCAGCACCCGAAGUCUAGGACGAUGGAAGGAAGGCAGCGAUGGAGUGCAUAUGCAGCCGGCGAGUCGCACACAAUCCAACGCGGUGCGACGCAAUGAAUCCAUCGCCAUCAUCGUCGUCGCAGAUGAGGAGGAGGAGAUGGCGCACUGGAUUGUUUGAUUGAUUGAUUCAUUCCCCGAUGGAUUUCAUGCAUCAUCUUCUUCUUCGUCUUGCUGCUGUUGCAAGUGCUGUUGCUGGUAGGGCCCAAUUUUAUGCCCCGCGCUGCGGGAUCGGGCACCUGACGUCAGUCGCGCCCUCUGCACGCAUUCCCCUCUUUAAUGCCGCGCGGACUCUUCCUUCAAAGUGACCACCCCAGCUCAUCGAUACAACGGAAUCCUGCUUGUCGAGACAAACCUGCCGAUUCUCUUGCUUGCCACAUGGACGGUCUAGACCUCGCACACCCCCCCGGUGAUUCCACUUGGAGUGUGUGUUCUCCUCAACAGCCGCCUGGAUCACCCAUCGUUGUUGCUGCUGUUGUUGUUGUUAAAAUUCCAUCAUCAUCCCCCACGCCUAGCUCAUCGAUGCGUAGGAUGCGGUAUAGGAGGAUGAGGCGGACCGGGAGAGAGAGAGCCUCCGGCGUCGCAUUUUUUGAAGUCAGACGGAAUCACGCUUUCAACGACAUCCGGAGUUACUGAUACGAAGCUGGAAAAUGCACCACAACUGGCCCGAGUCGUGGGUUUAAUACUGUGAGCUCCGUUCUUGUGUGCUCCAUGUGAGGAUGGCAAUCGCGUCGACCGCAGCUCGUUGUCAGGAUUUCGGGGAUUGGACAAGGAUUGUAGGAUGAUGACAUCAUUGGGUGAUCGGGCUGUGAUGUCAGUGAAUGGCUCCCAUGUCUCUGUUAAUGAUAAUCGGAAGAUAGUGGAGUUGCAACGGGAUUUGCUGUCGGUUCGGACCCUGCACACAGCGAUUAGCUUUAUGAAAUCAGAUACAACUCACCGUCUAUCAAGGUUUAAUAAUUCAGCGAUCUAGCUUAUUCACUACCAUUUGCGCCAAUCUGAUUGAGGCAAUCAGAUCCGUCUCUCCAAGCUGUGGUGAGCUCAGUCGACCAUGAAUAGAACUAGCAACAUGGGUUACAAUCCUUGUGGAUAAGAGAACGAAUAGUGAUGCGAAUGGAGUCCUCCGGCACCCUCUUCGGCGACGGUAUCUCCGUUGUACCUACACAUAUAUCUUUUGGGCAACUCAAACUCAUACACAUCAGUUCGUAUCUUAUACCAACGAGCUUGUACAUGCAGUUUUGAAUGCAGACCUCUGAGUCAUGGCGCCGAAGAUGUCUGCUGCAGACCAUUAGCGGCUGUAUAGGCUGUACACUCUCUUUGAAUGAUUUUGGCAGCGCAUGAGUGUUGCAGAAACGAUACCCCCAUCGCAUCAGCCACUGCAACUCGACAGGCAGCACCAAGCGGAGAUUGCAUGAGAUGCUUGUCACACUGUUGUUGCUAGUGCCAGACGUUAAUUAGUUCCCCGCGCUUGUGCAAGUAAACACCCCCCCCCCCCCCCCCAAGAGUGUAUUACCCCUCCGCGGUAAAGUCCUUGGCCAUGAUCAGAGAUUCUACGGCGGCAGUAGAGUCGUGCGCAGACUACGAAUCUCUCAACUGCCGCGUUUGUCGUGUCUAAAAAUCUCACUAACUACACCAUUUGCAAGCACGAACAAUCACCCCAUCCUUCUCAUACUGGUGUUCUGCCUGGGCGUGCACUGUCCUCGAUGCUAACUUUGUGGAAAGUUUUAUAAUUUAUUUUGAGGGAGCCUUGCGAUCAUCGAUGAUGAUCGAACGUUACGUCUGCAUUGAUCAUCUGCUGCGGCACGGUGAUUGGUUACGGAUUAGUCAUUUCCGUGCCAACCAAAAUGUAAUGCUUUUGUGAAUAGGACGUCACUAUAUUAUUGGGAGUUAUACUCGAUGUCAUUCAAAAUAAAGUUCAUUUCAGGACCUACAUUAUCAAUCGAUACAAUGAAGA
Molecule: RNA transcript, 2231 nt
Organism: Physcomitrium patens
Lineage: Eukaryota; Viridiplantae; Streptophyta; Bryopsida; Funariales; Funariaceae
Source: RefSeq, a predicted model, not a curated record